This 2653-nucleotide ribosomal RNA is filed under the name Kocuria rosea. RNAcentral describes it as "bacterial SSU rRNA". The stretch from base 3 to 1394 matches the Rfam family "Bacterial small subunit ribosomal RNA". The record is from RNAcentral. Lineage: Bacteria; Bacillati; Actinomycetota; Actinomycetes; Micrococcales; Micrococcaceae.
UUUUGACGGAGAGUUUGAUCCUGGCUCAGGACGAACGCUGGCGGCGUGCUUAACACAUGCAAGUCGAACGAUGAUGCCCAGCUUGCUGGGCGGAUUAGUGGCGAACGGGUGAGUAAUACGUGAGUAACCUGCCCUUGACUCUGGGAUAAGCCUGGGAAACUGGGUCUAAUACUGGAUACUACCUCUUACCGCAUGGUGGGUGGUGGAAAGGGUUUUACUGGUUUUGGAUGGGCUCACGGCCUAUCAGCUUGUUGGUGGGGUAAUGGCUCACCAAGGCGACGACGGGUAGCCGGCCUGAGAGGGUGACCGGCCACACUGGGACUGAGACACGGCCCAGACUCCUACGGGAGGCAGCAGUGGGGAAUAUUGCACAAUGGGCGGAAGCCUGAUGCAGCGACGCCGCGUGAGGGAUGACGGCCUUCGGGUUGUAAACCUCUUUCAGUAGGGAAGAAGCGAGAGUGACGGUACCUGCAGAAGAAGCGCCGGCUAACUACGUGCCAGCAGCCGCGGUAAUACGUAGGGCGCAAGCGUUGUCCGGAAUUAUUGGGCGUAAAGAGCUCGUAGGCGGUUUGUCGCGUCUGCUGUGAAAGCCCGGGGCUCAACCCCGGGUCUGCAGUGGGUACGGGCAGACUAGAGUGCAGUAGGGGAGACUGGAAUUCCUGGUGUAGCGGUGAAAUGCGCAGAUAUCAGGAGGAACACCGAUGGCGAAGGCAGGUCUCUGGGCUGUUACUGACGCUGAGGAGCGAAAGCAUGGGGAGCGAACAGGAUUAGAUACCCUGGUAGUCCAUGCCGUAAACGUUGGGCACUAGGUGUGGGGGACAUUCCACGUUUUCCGCGCCGUAGCUAACGCAUUAAGUGCCCCGCCUGGGGAGUACGGCCGCAAGGCUAAAACUCAAAGGAAUUGACGGGGGCCCGCACAAGCGGCGGAGCAUGCGGAUUAAUUCGAUGCAACGCGAAGAACCUUACCAAGGCUUGACAUUCACCGGACCGCCCCAGAGAUGGGGUUUCCCUUCGGGGCUGGUGGACAGGUGGUGCAUGGUUGUCGUCAGCUCGUGUCGUGAGAUGUUGGGUUAAGUCCCGCAACGAGCGCAACCCUCGUUCUAUGUUGCCAGCACGUGAUGGUGGGGACUCAUAGGAGACUGCCGGGGUCAACUCGGAGGAAGGUGGGGAUGACGUCAAAUCAUCAUGCCCCUUAUGUCUUGGGCUUCACGCAUGCUACAAUGGCCGGUACAAAGGGUUGCGAUACUGUGAGGUGGAGCUAAUCCCAAAAAGCCGGUCUCAGUUCGGAUUGAGGUCUGCAACUCGACCUCAUGAAGUCGGAGUCGCUAGUUGUAAGAGGGCAUGACGUUAUUGGCACGGGCCGGGGUGCGUGAGGCCGGGGGCUGAUCGCCGCAGGCGGUAUGGGGCCGAUGGUAGUUGAAGUGGUUCACCCAGACCCCGAUGGCGUACCGGCGGGCCUGCUCGCUGGCGUAGGGGCGGGCGUAGAGCACCUCGUCGGCCAGCAGGCGGUUGUACCGCUCCACCUUCCCGUUGUGCCGCGGCGUGUAGGGGCGGAUGCGCUGGUGGCGGCCGGCCAGGGCUUCCACGCAGCGGGUGAAGUCCUUGGCCCGGUAGUUGGCGCCGUUGUCGGUCACGACGCGGUUCAAUCGGGUGAUGCCGUGGGCGGCGAAGAAGGCUCUCGCCCGGCAGAAGAACCCGAUGGUGGUCACCGCCUUCUCGUCCUCGAGGGCCUCGGUGUAGGCCAACCGCGAGAAGCCGUCCACGGCCGAGUGCAGGUAGGUGUAGCCGACCUUGGCCCCGGCCCCGCGCUUGGCCGCCUUCGCGGCGGUGGAGCCGCGGCCGUGGGCCCGCCAGCCGCCGCCGUCGGGGAUCCUGCCCACCUUCUUCACAUCCAGGUGGACCAUGUGCCCGGGCCAGGCGGCGCGGAUCCGUCCCGGGGUCCUGCGGGUGUUCUCGCCGGCGGGGGUGAGGUCGCGCAGGCGGGAGAUCCCGAGCCGGUGCAGCCAGCGGCCGACGGUGCGCAGGCUGAUCGCCACGGCGCGGUCGACCAGGUGGCGGUGGAUGCGCCGCGCUGACCACUUGUGCUUGCGGCGCCAGCGCUCGAUGAGGUCCACGACCGCCGCCGGGGUGCGGGUGCUGCUGUGCCGCGGGGUCGAGGGACGGUCGGUGAGCCCGGCUUCGCCGGACUCGACGUAGCGGGCCACCCAGGUCGCCACGGUGGGCCGGCUGACGCGGAACUCCGCGGCCACGUGGGCCUUGGGGAUGCCGUCGUCGAGGUGGCGCAACACCAUGCGCAGCCGGCCGGUCGGGGUCAGGGGUGCGUUAACGUGGGUCAUGAACGGGCUCUCUCGCGCGGACGGACGGUGUAGGAACUUCCAUCCUGUGACGAGGAGCCCGUUCCUCAUCUCAUCGACGCACCCACGCCAAGAACCUCAUGACCCACAACAGCUAGUAAUCGCAGAUCAGCAACGCUGCGGUGAAUACGUUCCCGGGCCUUGUACACACCGCCCGUCAAGUCACGAAAGUUGGUAACACCCGAAGCCGGUGGCCUAACCCCUUGUGGGAGGGAGCCGUCGAAGGUGGGACUGGCGAUUGGGACUAAGUCGUAACAAGGUAGCCGUACCGGAAGGUGCGGCUGGAUCACCUCCUUUCU